UACAGAGGGUGCAAGCGUUAAUCGGAAUUACUGGGCGUAAAGCGCGCGUAGGCGGUUGUGUAAGUUGGAUGUGAAAUCCCCGGGCUUAACCUGGGAACUGCAUUCAAAACUGCACGGCUAGAGUACGGGAGAGGGGGGUAGAAUUCCAGGUGUAGCGGUGAAAUGCGUAGAGAUCUGGAGGAAUACCGAUGGCGAAGGCAGCCCCCUGGCCUGAUACUGACGCUGAGGUGCGAAAGCAUGGGGAGCAAACAGG
This 253-nucleotide ribosomal RNA is filed under the name uncultured prokaryote. Its description in RNAcentral is "partial 16S ribosomal RNA". It matches the Rfam family "Bacterial small subunit ribosomal RNA", at positions 524 to 776 of the family's 1533-position model. The record is from RNAcentral.